UUGGGCAUAAGUGAAGUCACGGAAGCCAAAGUUACAAGCGUUUUUGCUAAGUGGCUUCAACAAGCCAAAACCAGAUGUGAAAGAAGAGGGAAAAAAACCUGCCACUGUGGACAGUGGGGAAGAAGUUCCACUCAAUGGGGAUGAAGAUCUUGUUGAAUAGAUAACUUACUCUGUAUUAUUUAAGUAAUCGUAAAAAGAGGAAUUUUUGAGGGAACUGUUUGUUGAAAGUUAAAGAUACGAGGCAUUUUCAAAUGUGAAUGUGUUAUGUAAAUCUUCAAUAUAAAUCUAUUUAGACAAAUUA
Molecule: long non-coding RNA, 301 nt
Organism: Macrosteles quadrilineatus (aster leafhopper)
Lineage: Eukaryota; Metazoa; Arthropoda; Insecta; Hemiptera; Cicadellidae
Exons: 2
Source: RefSeq, a predicted model, not a curated record